CUUUUCCCAGCAAACUCACCCACCGGUUUUCAUUAGAACGACCCAUCUCCUCCUUUUUUCCUCUCAAAAUUCAUUCCUCAAAAUCCUCUCUUUAACUCCUAAAAUCCAAAUCCAGAAAUAGAUUCAUCUCAAAAUCCUCUCUUUCCCUAUAGAUUCAUCUCCUUAUAGAUUUAUCUCAAGGAUAGUUGCUAACCUUCCCUAAAUCCCCAAAUUCCAAAAUCAAUUUUAUGGUCGAAUCAGAGAAGUAGUCCAAACGAAUAUGUAAGAUCUUCAGAUAAACCACACUCCAAACCAAACUCAACAAACAGAGCAAUUUGAUAAACCAGAGAUCAAGAAGAAGAAAAUACAAAGAUAACAGAGAAGAACAAAGCUAGGUUUUCGUGAAACAAGCGCGAUUCUUGAUUGUAGAGCUUCUUUAAAAAGGGCGAUUGUUGUUGCAUGUCUUCUGAUUAAUCUGAGAGGAUUUUCAUGGAUAAUGUAGAUAAAAGUUGGAUGCAUCUCCUAAGAUGGGCGGAUGAGUAUAUACAUGGAGUGAAUGAUUUCCUUGAUAAGGCAUUUGAAUGAGCUUCCCAAGGAAAUGAAAUAUUAUGCCCUUGCCAAAAGUGCAUUAAUCGCUAUUGGCAUUAUAAAAAUGUGGUGGAGGAUCACUUGGUCGUUAAUGGCUUUGUUGAUGGUUACACCGAAUGGGUUUUCCAUGGUGAAGGAUUUUCCUCUAGAAUUAAACCUCAUCAAAGCAAUAAUGAUGAAGGUUCUAACAUGCGUGAUGAUAUUGAUGGAUUACUUCAUGAUACAUUGCAGAAGUAUUCCUGAGUUAGCAAAGCUUAAAAUUAUAAAACAAGAUAGGAAGGUGGGGGAAGCACAUGCACAGAGCCUGUCAAAGAUACUUCAAAGACAGUGAUUCAUACAGAAAUAAAGGUUGUCUGAAUUUAUCAUGAGAUAACACCUUAGAAGAUCACAAGGAAAUAACUUCAAAAUUAAGUUUGGAAGUAGCUCUUUUUUCCCUACCCCCACCCCCACCCUCUUUGUGUGGGGGGGCCGAGGUGGCGGUAAAUCAAGUUUAACAGAAUCCAAAAGCUAGAACAUGAUCCUAUCAAAUCAGUAUCCGUUAUAUCUCCCAUGUGCACUGUAUAAGCAAAAUACUACACAAGCUUUUGUAAUGUUUGGUGCAUAAGCACAGUAGAAUUUAACAGUAUAGAAAUGUUUGCUAAUGUUAUUGAGUUGGGUAUUCGAACACAUGAGGAAUUGAACUGAAGUAAACUCAAAAUUCUAGCUUUGCUAAUGUUCAUUAAUCUUCUCAAGUUUGUAUAAUCCUGAGCCAUAAAGAUUUGUGUUUUGUUGA
Molecule: non-coding RNA, 1339 nt
Organism: Nicotiana tabacum (common tobacco)
Lineage: Eukaryota; Viridiplantae; Streptophyta; Magnoliopsida; Solanales; Solanaceae
Source: RefSeq, a predicted model, not a curated record